This 467-nucleotide ribosomal RNA is filed under the name uncultured bacterium. Its description in RNAcentral is "partial 16S ribosomal RNA". It matches the Rfam family "Bacterial small subunit ribosomal RNA", at positions 28 to 507 of the family's 1533-position model. The record is from RNAcentral.
GACGAACGCUGGCGGCGUGCUUAACACAUGCAAGUCGAACGGAAAGGCCCUGCUUUUGUGGGGUGCUCGAGUGGCGAACGGGUGAGUAACACGUGAGUAACCUUCCCUUGACUUUGUGAUAACUUCAGGAAACUGGGGCUAAUACCGGAUAGGAGCUCCUGCUGCAUGGUGGGGGUUGGAAAGUUUCGGCGGUUGGGGAUGGACUCGCGGCUUUCAGGUUGUUGGGGGGGUAGUGGCCUACCAAGGCUUUGACUGGUAGCCGGCCUGAGAGGGUGACCGGCCACAAUGGGACUGAGAUACGGCCCAGACUCCUACGGGAGGCAGCAGUGGGGAAUCUUGCACAAUGGGCGGAAGCCUGAUGCAGCAACGCCGCGUGCGGGAUGAAGGCCUUCGGGUUGUAAACCGCUUUCGCCUGUGACGAAGCGUGAGUGACGGUAAUGGGUAAAGAAGCACCGGCUAACUACGUG